This 29-nucleotide small RNA is filed under the name Bombyx mori (domestic silkworm). Its description in RNAcentral is "ovarian small RNA-18239". The record is from RNAcentral. Lineage: Eukaryota; Metazoa; Arthropoda; Insecta; Lepidoptera; Bombycidae.
UAAACUGGUAAACCUUUAAUGGUUCAUGU